UACGUAGGGUGCGAGCGUUAAUCGGAAUUACUGGGCGUAAAGCGUGCGCAGGCGGUUAUUUAAGACAGGUGUGAAAUCCCCGGGCUUAACCUGGGAAUUGCGCUUGUGACUGGAUAGCUAGAGUGCGGCAGAGGGGGGUGGAAUUCCACGUGUAGCAGUGAAAUGCGUAGAUAUGUGGAGGAAUACCGAUGGCGAAGGCAGCCCCCUGGGUCGAUACUGACGCUCAUGCACGAAAGCGUGGGGAGCAAACAGG
RNAcentral lists this ribosomal RNA (253 nucleotides) under uncultured bacterium. RNAcentral describes it as "partial 16S ribosomal RNA". It matches the Rfam family "Bacterial small subunit ribosomal RNA", at positions 524 to 776 of the family's 1533-position model. The record is from RNAcentral.